AAGACUAUGCUUUCAGGGAUCAUUUCUAUAGUUUCUGACUUGGAAGUUUGAUUUGAAAGUGUAACGUCUCUCUAACCACGAUGACGAGUUAAGAUGCUUUCUUCUGAGCGUGAAUCGGGUGGUGAGCGACGAGUGAGAUUGUCUGCUCUCUGUCAUUGAUGAACGUUCCUGCUGUGCUUUGCAGUCUGGAAGAAGAAAGCAUGUUCAGAGUGGUU
Pygocentrus nattereri (red-bellied piranha) is the source of this 215-nucleotide small nucleolar RNA. Ensembl annotates it as ACEA small nucleolar RNA U3. The record is from Ensembl. Lineage: Eukaryota; Metazoa; Chordata; Actinopteri; Characiformes; Serrasalmidae.